RNAcentral lists this transfer RNA (91 nucleotides) under Planctomycetota bacterium. RNAcentral's name for it is "Planctomycetes bacterium tRNA-Ser". It matches the Rfam family "tRNA". Rfam says of the family: Transfer RNA (tRNA) molecules are approximately 80 nucleotides in length. Their secondary structure includes four short double-helical elements and three loops (D, anti-codon, and T loops). Further hydrogen bonds mediate the characteristic L-shaped molecular structure. tRNAs have two regions of fundamental functional importance: the anti-codon, which is responsible for specific mRNA codon recognition, and the 3' end, to which the tRNAs corresponding amino acid is attached (by aminoacyl-tRNA synthetases). tRNAs cope with the degeneracy of the genetic code in two manners: having more than one tRNA (with a specific anti-codon) for a particular amino acid; and 'wobble' base-pairing, i.e. permitting non-standard base-pairing at the 3rd anti-codon position. RNAcentral also lists the same sequence under 4 other names. The record is from RNAcentral. Lineage: Bacteria; Pseudomonadati; Planctomycetota.
GGAGAGGUGGCCGAGUGGCUGAAGGCAACGGUUUGCUAAACCGUCCAGUGGGUAUAAACCCGCUGCGCGGGUUCGAAUCCCGCCCUCUCCG